RNAcentral lists this ribosomal RNA (775 nucleotides) under uncultured Neocallimastigales. Its description in RNAcentral is "partial large subunit ribosomal RNA". It matches the Rfam family "Eukaryotic large subunit ribosomal RNA", at positions 23 to 626 of the family's 3401-position model. Lineage: Eukaryota; Fungi; Neocallimastigomycota; Neocallimastigomycetes; Neocallimastigales. The record is from RNAcentral.
AGAGAGAGACAUGCGCGCAUAUCAAUAAGCGGAGGAAAAGAAACUAACAAGGAUUCCCUUAGUAACGGCGAGUGAAGCGGGAAGAGCUCAAAUUUGAAAUCUUCAAGGUUUUACCUUGACGAAUUGUAGUUUAAAGAAGUGUUUUCUGCUGAAGUUUUGGUAAAAGUUCUUUGGAAUAGGACAUCAUAGAGGGUGAGAAUCCCGUAUUUGACCAUUAUUUUCAGCUUUGUGAUACGCUUUCAAAGAGUCGGAUUGUUUGGGAAUGCAGUCCAAAAUGGGUGGUAAAUUUCAUCUAAAGCUAAAUAUUGGCGAGAGACCGAUAGCGAACAAGUACCGUGAGGGAAAGAUGAAAAGAACCUUGAAAAGAGAGUUAAACAGUACGUGAAAUUGUCAAAAGGGAAGCGUUUGACACCAGUGUUGUUUUCUCGAAAAUCAAUUAAAAAUGGCUCGAUUUUGUAUUGCUUGAGACCUUAAAAGCUCACUGUACAUUUUUCGUGUCUUUUUUAAUGCACUUUUCGUUUAACAAGUCAACAUCAGUUUCUUUUGUUGUAAAAGGGUCAUUGGAAGGUGGCUUUCUUUUCGGAGAAAGUGUUUAUAGCCUUUGGCCUCUGCAAUCGGAGAGACUGAGGUCUGCAGCGUAGACUCUUCGGGGUUAGAUACAUUUGUGCUAAGUUAUAGCUUUUUAUAGACAACUUGUUGACUAUAAUUAGUCUUGUAGCUUACUCGCUUAUGCUAUUUUACCUACGCUUAGGAUGUUGAGUCGUAGAGCACGCAG